CGGACGGGUGAGUAAUGUCUGGGAAACUGCCCGAUGGAGGGGGAUAACUACUGGAAACGGUAGCUAAUACCGCAUAACGUCGCAAGACCAAAGAGGGGGACCUUAGGGCCUCUUGCCAUCGGAUGUGCCCAGAUGGGAUUAGCUAGUAGGUGGGGUAACGGCUCACCUAGGCGACGAUCCCCAGCUGGUCUGAGAGGAUGACCAGCCACACUGGAACUGAGACACGGUCCAG
RNAcentral lists this ribosomal RNA (232 nucleotides) under uncultured bacterium. Its description in RNAcentral is "partial 16S ribosomal RNA". It matches the Rfam family "Bacterial small subunit ribosomal RNA", at positions 99 to 334 of the family's 1533-position model. The record is from RNAcentral.